Molecule: ribosomal RNA, 342 nt
Filed under: Nematoda environmental sample
Lineage: Eukaryota; Metazoa; Nematoda
Description: SSU rRNA
Rfam family: Eukaryotic small subunit ribosomal RNA
Source: RNAcentral
GGUGGAGCGAUUUGUCUGGUUAAUUCCGAUAACGAACGAGACUCUAGCCUACUAAAUAGUGAGUGGAUCGCCUCGUCCGCUUAACUUCUUAGAGGGACAAACGGCGCUUAGCCGUACGAAAUUGAGCAAUAACAGGUCUGUGAUGCCCUUAGAUGUCCGGGGCUGCACGCGCGCUACACUGAAGGAAUCAGCGUGCAUACUAACCUGGUCCGAAAGGACCGGGUAACCCAAUCAAACUCCUUCGUGAUUGGGAUAGGGACUUGCAAUUAUUUCCCUUGAACGAGGAAUUCCCAGUAAGUGCGGGUCAUAAGCUCGCGUUGAAUACGUCCCUGCCCUUUGUAC